This is a non-coding RNA of Acanthosepion pharaonis, 98 nucleotides long. NCBI's taxonomy places the organism in Eukaryota, Metazoa, Mollusca, Cephalopoda, Sepiida, Sepiidae. The record is from the annotation of a GenBank genome assembly.
GAUGAGACACCGGGUCCUGUACGAACAUUGAAGUUAAGCAACGUCGAGCUUGGUCAGUACAUAGAUGGGUGACCACUUGGGAAAAACAGAUGUUGUAA